This 928-nucleotide ribosomal RNA is filed under the name marine metagenome. RNAcentral describes it as "bacterial SSU rRNA". It matches the Rfam family "Bacterial small subunit ribosomal RNA", at positions 18 to 914 of the family's 1533-position model. The record is from RNAcentral.
UCUGGCUCAGAACGAACGCUGGCGGCGUGGAUAAGACAUGCAAGUCGUGCGACAGACCAGGAAUUGAUUACUUCGGUUUGAUUUUCCUGACGAUGAGCGGCGAACGGGUGCGUAACACGUGAGAAACCUGCCUUGAAGUUCGGGAUAGCUCGGCGAAAGUCGAAUUAAUACCGGAUGUGGCCUAGGGAUAGCAUUUUCCCUUGGUUAAAGCUCGGUCACAGAGCGCUUUUAGAUGGUCUCGCGGUCUAUCAGCUUGUUGGUGAGGUAACGGCUCACCAAGGCUACGACGGAUAACUGAUCUGAGAGGAUGAUCAGUCACACUGGAACUGAGACACGGUCCAGACACCUACGGGUGGCAGCAGUCGAGAAUCAUUCACAAUGGGCGCAAGCCUGAUGGUGCGACGCCGCGUGGGGGAUGAAGGGCUUCGGUCUGUAAACCCCUGUCAUCUGUGAGUAAGGUCUCGUAUAAAAGCUACGAGGAUUGAUAUUAGCAGAAGAGGAAGGGACGGCUAACUCUGUGCCAGCAGCCGCGGUAAUACAGAGGUCCCAAGCGUUGUUCGGAUUUACUGGGCGUAAAGGGUGCGUAGGCGGUUAGAAAAGUUUGGUGUGAAAUCUUCGGGCUCAACCCGGAAACUGCACUGAAAACUAUUUAACUAGAGGAUCGGAGAGGAGAUUGGAAUUCUCAGUGUAGCAGUGAAAUGCGUAGAUAUUGAGAGGAACACCAGUUGCGAAGGCGGAUCUCUGGACGAUUCCUGACGCUGAGGCACGAAAGCUGGGGGAGCGAAGAGGAUUAGAUACCCUCGUAGUCCCAGCCGUAAACGGUGCGCACUUGCUGUGGGCGGAUUCGACCCCGUCCGUGGCGAAGCUAACGCGUUAAGUGCGCCGCCUGGGGAGUACGGUCGCAAGAUUAAAACUCAAAGAAAUUGAC